This is a long non-coding RNA of Stegodyphus dumicola, 566 nucleotides long. RefSeq lists it as uncharacterized. Lineage: Eukaryota; Metazoa; Arthropoda; Arachnida; Araneae; Eresidae. The record is from RefSeq and is a predicted model, not a curated record.
AAUGUAGAGGGCGCUGCUUGGCAGCAAAAUGCAUAUUAUGUAGAAAGGAAAAAGGGAAACGAAGUAGCGGUUGAUCAGGCAGCAUAAUUUCUAUGAAGGUUGGUCCACCUAAUAAAAGGACAAAUGUGCAUCUUAGAUGGGAAGUUUCUAUUUGUAAAGAAAGAAGUAAAAUUGAUGAGGAUGGAUGCGUCCAGACCAUGGCCCAGGAAUUAGGCCUGCUGCUGAAACUGCUGUCAGUGUGGUCUUUUACAGUUUGUAAAGCGUUGCCAUCGUCUACGUCACCGUUCAGUCUGCCAUCCCAUAUGCCCAUGUAACCCCAUAUGGUUGGUAGAUGGCUCCCAUCUUCAAUCACUAUGAGGAAGAAACAGUUUUGAAAUUUGAACAGAAGAUAAAAAUAUUUGUUAACAUAUGUUGUGCGUAAUAAUUCGUUAUUUAGAUGUAAUUUGUUUACAUUUAUAAUUCAGUAAUGUAAACUGGAUUUUAUCCCUCAGUUUGUUAAUGUAUAUUCGCGCUUUUAUUUUCUUAUUUCAAAGAAUUAAAAUAAACAGCAUUAAGGAAUUGUAAAA